Molecule: ribosomal RNA, 373 nt
Filed under: Salmonella enterica subsp. enterica serovar Typhimurium
Lineage: Bacteria; Pseudomonadati; Pseudomonadota; Gammaproteobacteria; Enterobacterales; Enterobacteriaceae
Also listed under: 1 other name
Description: partial 23S ribosomal RNA
Source: RNAcentral
UCCUGUCUGAAUAUGGGGGGACCAUCCUCCAAGGCUAAAUACUCCUGACUGACCGAUAGUGAACCAGUACCGUGAGGGAAAGGCGAAAAGAACCCCGGCGAGGGGAGUGAAAAAGAACCUGAAACCGUGUACGUACAAGCAGUGGGAGCACAGGUUUACCUGUGUGACUGCGUACCUUUUGUAUAAUGGGUCAGCGACUUAUAUUCUGUAGCAAGGUUAACCGUAUAGGGGAGCCGKAGGGAAACCGAGUCUUAAYYGGGCGUUAAGUUGCAGGGUAUAGACCCGAAACCCGGUGAUCUAGCCAUGGGCAGGUUGAAGGUUGGGUAACACUAACUGGAGGACCGAACCGACUAAUGUUGAAAAAUUAGCGGAU